GCUUAUGGCCAUACCAGCCUGGCUAUGCCCGAUCUUGUCUGAUCUCGGAAGCUAAGCAGGUUUGGGCCUGGUUAGUACUUGGAUGGGAGACCGCCUGGGAAUACCAGGUUGUAAGCU
This 117-nucleotide ribosomal RNA is filed under the name Carassius auratus (goldfish). Lineage: Eukaryota; Metazoa; Chordata; Actinopteri; Cypriniformes; Cyprinidae. The record is from RNAcentral.